AGGGAUGCAGGGUUCCUCCUGUGGCUGCAUGGCAGAGACAGCCUCCCCAAGGAGGCUGGAAGAAGGGGAAUGGAUGCACUGGGAGUAGCAACCAGUACUGGCAUCAUCUCUUCCGUGCAAACACCUUGCUCAGUCAAGACUUAUCCUGUCCCCAUAAGGAAGAUGUUAGUGUAAAUGUUUUACAGAUGAAACAGAGCCGCAAAGUGCUGACAUGACUUCACCAAGGUCACACAGCCAGUAUUUCUCCCAGGAUUUGAACCAAGGUCUCAGGGCUCUACCACCUGUGCUCUUUCCAUCCUUGAUGUGCUGGAAGAAAGGCAGAUUCCUCCCCGCUCCGUUUUCUGCCUUCAUUUGGGCUCCCUUCACCGAUCCACGGAAGGCGGUAGCCUCCUCGUCAUUCUCCCUGCCGUCCUUCAGGCAGCAGCCGUCCAGUCCAUACUGUCAGCCUUGGAGCCCGAAUGAUCUCUCCCAGUGCAGAUCUGAUCAGAUUCACUUUCCUGGGAUUUUAUCUUUUUUACAGUCUCCCC
RNAcentral lists this long non-coding RNA (527 nucleotides) under Heterocephalus glaber (naked mole-rat). Its description in RNAcentral is "lncRNA (ENSHGLG00100046385.1)". Lineage: Eukaryota; Metazoa; Chordata; Mammalia; Rodentia; Bathyergidae. The record is from RNAcentral.